This 275-nucleotide ribosomal RNA is filed under the name Sporosarcina globispora. RNAcentral's name for it is "partial 16S rRNA". It matches the Rfam family "Bacterial small subunit ribosomal RNA", at positions 68 to 334 of the family's 1533-position model. Lineage: Bacteria; Bacillati; Bacillota; Bacilli; Caryophanales; Caryophanaceae. The record is from RNAcentral.
GAAUGAUGAGAGCUUGCUCUCUGAUUUUAGCGGCGGACGGGUGAGUAACACGUGGGCAACCUGCCCUACAGAUGGGGAUAACUCCGGGAAACCGGGGCUAAUACCGAAUAAUCAGUUUGUCCGCAUGGACAAACUCUGAAAGACGGUUUCGGCUGUCACUGUAGGAUGGGCCCGCGGCGCAUUAGCUAGUUGGUGGGGUAAUGGCCUACCAAGGCGACGAUGCGUAGCCGACCUGAGAGGGUGAUCGGCCACACUGGGACUGAGACACGGCCCAG